This 241-nucleotide non-coding RNA is filed under the name Companilactobacillus tucceti. RNAcentral describes it as "Lactobacillus tucceti T-box sequence". It matches the Rfam family "T-box leader". Rfam says of the family: Uncharged tRNA acts as the effector for transcription antitermination of genes in the T-box leader family. T-boxes are found upstream of many aminoacyl-tRNA synthetase genes and some amino acid biosynthetic genes usually in Gram-positive bacteria. The record is from RNAcentral. Lineage: Bacteria; Bacillati; Bacillota; Bacilli; Lactobacillales; Lactobacillaceae.
AAAAAGACGUUGAACAGGAACUUGAAAUACAAAAUACUUCAGAAAGUUGUCGGUUGAUGCGAGGCAAUAGUAUUGUAUUUUCUAUAUCACCUGCCAGUCGUACUUCGAAAUAGACUUCUAAAUUAGAAAGUACUGAUUGCACUCAUUAUCGUGCUAGCAAAUUGUUUACAGUUUGUUAUAAAGGCUGCAUUAGUAAUAAUGUAGCAAAUAAAGGUGGUAACACGUUUCUAACGUCCUUUGA